Molecule: unclassified non-coding RNA, 275 nt
Filed under: uncultured fungus
Lineage: Eukaryota; Fungi
Description: partial contains small subunit ribosomal RNA, internal transcribed spacer 1, and 5.8S ribosomal RNA
Rfam family: Eukaryotic small subunit ribosomal RNA (bases 1-73)
Source: RNAcentral
GCAAACUUGGUCAUUUAGAGGAAGUAAAAGUCGUAACAAGGUCUCCGUUGGUGAACCAGCGGAGGGAUCAUUACAGAGUGUAAAAACUCCCUAAACCACUGUUAAUUUACCUGUUCGUUGCUUCGGCAGGCGGUCUCCGGGGGGGAUCGUAGCCCGUGAGGGCGCCUGCCGGAGGUUUCAAACUCUUACUGUAACCGUCCUCUGAGCACGCUAUAAAACAAAUCAAAACUUUCAACAACGGAUCUCUUGGUUUGGGCAUCGAUGAAGAACGCAGC